GGGAUUACCUCAGUAACGGCGAGUGAAGCGGUAACAGCUCAAAUUUGAAAUCUGGCUCGUCCCGAGCCCGAGUUGUAAUUUGUAGAAGAUGCUUCGGGUGGGGCCCCGGUCUAAGUGCCCUGGAACGGGACGUCACGGAGGGUGAGAAUCCCGUAUGUGACUGGUGGCCUCCGCCCGUGUGAAGCUCUUUCGACGAGUCGAGUUGUUUGGGAAUGCAGCUCAAAAUGGGUGGUAAAUUUCAUCUAAAGCUAAAUAUGGGCCAGAGACCGAUAGCGCACAAGUAGAGUGAUCGAAAGAUGAAAAGCACUUUGGAAAGAGAGUUAAACAGUACGUGAAAUUGUUGAAAGGGAAGCGCUUGCAACCAGACUUGAGCGCGGCCGAUCAUCCGGGGUUCUCCCCGGUGCACUCGGGCGCGCGCAGGCCAGCAUCGGUUUCGGUGGUUGGACAAAGGCCUUGGGAACGUGGCUCCCCUCGGGGAGUGUUAUAGCCCUCGGUGCAAUGCAGCCUACCGGGACCGAGGACCGCGCUUCGGCUAGGAUGCUGGCGUAAUGGUUGCAAGCGGCCCGUCUUGAAACACGGACCAAGGAGUCUAACAUCUAUGCGAGUAUUUGGGUGUCAAACCCACGUGCGCAAUGAAAGUGAACGGAGGUGAGAACCCUGGAGGGCGCAUCAUCGACCGAUCCUGAUGUCUUCGGAUGGAUUUGAGUAAGAGCAUAGCUGUUAGGACCCGAAAGAUGGUGAACUAUGCGUGAAUAGGGUGAAGCCAGAGGAAACUCUGGUGGAGGCUCGCAGCGGUUCUGACGUGCAAAUCGAUCGUCAAAUUUGCGCAUAGGGGCGAAAGACUAAUCGAACCAUCGCUAGGUGGCUGAGAGGCCUCUAACCGAGCGCCUAGUUCCCGUCCACGGAACUACACUGUCAAAUUGCGGGGACGUCCUGUGAGUGCCAGGCUACCGCGCGGCGGGCGAAAGCCCGGCGCGCACCAGGGUAAUGACCUCGGGUACGGUAACAACGCCUGGCUAGGGAUAAUCCGCAGCCAAGUCCUAAGGGAGGAAUCCUACGGAUGCAGUUAACAGACUAGAUGUCAGUGGGCCCACGUCGUGGGUUUAAGUUAUAGUCGAUCCACCGCGAGAGCGGCUGAUAGGAGGCAAGCGUGCGGCGGCGGACCUCCGCCCCGGAGCGCCGCACGCGAGAGCCUAUCAUACGGGGCCCCCGCGGCCC
RNAcentral lists this ribosomal RNA (1218 nucleotides) under Stamnaria americana. RNAcentral's name for it is "eukaryotic LSU rRNA". It matches the Rfam family "Eukaryotic large subunit ribosomal RNA", at positions 71 to 990 of the family's 3401-position model. Lineage: Eukaryota; Fungi; Ascomycota; Leotiomycetes; Helotiales. The record is from RNAcentral.